GGGUUGUGAGGUUAAGCGACUAAGCGUACACGGUGGAUGCCCUGGCAGUCAGAGGCGAUGAAGGACGUGCUAAUCUGCGAUAAGCGUCGGUAAGGUGAUAUGAACCGUUAUAACCGGCGAUUUCCGAAUGGGGAAACCCAGUGUGUUUCGACACACUAUCAUUAACUGAAUCCAUAGGUUAAUGAGGCGAACCGGGGGAACUGAAACAUCUAAGUACCCCGAGGAAAAGAAAUCAACCGAGAUUCCCCCAGUAGCGGCGAGCGAACGGGGAGCAGCCCAGAGCCUGAAUCAGUGUGUGUGUUAGUGGAAGCGUCUGGAAAGGCGCGCGAUACAGGGUGACAGCCCCGUACACAAAAAUGCACAUACUGUGAGCUCGAUGAGUAGGGCGGGACACGUGGUAUCCUGUCUGAAUAUGGGGGGACCAUCCUCCAAGGCUAAAUACUCCUGACUGACCGAUAGUGAACCAGUACCGUGAGGGAAAGGCGAAAAGAACCCCGGCGAGGGGAGUGAAAAAGAACCUGAAACCGUGUACGUACAAGCAGUGGGAGCACGCUUAGGCGUGUGACUGCGUACCUUUUGUAUAAUGGGUCAGCGACUUAUAUUCUGUAGCAAGGUUAACCGAAUAGGGGAGCCGAAGGGAAACCGAGUCUUAACUGGGCGUUAAGUUGCAGGGUAUAGACCCGAAACCCGGUGAUCUAGCCAUGGGCAGGUUGAAGGUUGGGUAACACUAACUGGAGGACCGAACCGACUAAUGUUGAAAAAUUAGCGGAUGACUUGUGGCUGGGGGUGAAAGGCCAAUCAAACCGGGAGAUAGCUGGUUCUCCCCGAAAGCUAUUUAGGUAGCGCCUCGUGAAUUCAUCUCCGGGGGUAGAGCACUGUUUCGGCAAGGGGGUCAUCCCGACUUACCAACCCGAUGCAAACUGCGAAUACCGGAGAAUGUUAUCACGGGAGA
RNAcentral lists this ribosomal RNA (952 nucleotides) under Escherichia coli. Its description in RNAcentral is "partial 23S ribosomal RNA". It matches the Rfam family "Bacterial large subunit ribosomal RNA", at positions 1 to 984 of the family's 2925-position model. The record is from RNAcentral. Lineage: Bacteria; Pseudomonadati; Pseudomonadota; Gammaproteobacteria; Enterobacterales; Enterobacteriaceae.